UAUUAAAGUACAACUAUUCAGCGGGCGGAUCUCUACUUGCUCGAAGAUUAUUUACACUAUCACUCUCCCCCUCACUUUCACUCAGAGCUCCAGCAUCGGGGGCGAGCUUCUUGAGCUAGGAAAAGUCCUCAUUGGGGUAUUGCUUCAGCAGUUCGGCAAGCAGGUCAUUGUGGGUUUGCACAUACGCACCGACUUCUUUUUCAAUGGCCUCGUUCUCCUUUGCCUUAAGCUAUGUGGAGAAUUUGGCCAAGUCGGUAGGCUGGCUCGCCUUGGCAUCCUCAAGUUCCUUUUGUAGCUAAGCCACGAGCUCCUUAGAAGAUCUCAUCUAUCGCUCAAAUUCUUUAACCUGGGCAUUGGCAGUGGUCAGAUGGCUCUUGCAGGUUAUUACCUCGAUGACCGCCUUCGACAUCUCCCACCUGAGGAAGUCCACAUUCUCCUUCACCAUGUGUUGGGUGGCAACUGCCUCCAAGCUCAGGCUCAUAAACAGGUUGAGGAGAUCAUCAAUACUUUUCCUACCCAUCCAAGCUCAGUCUUUCAGGAAGCAAAUGGUAGAGGCAAUGACCAUUGCAAAUUCGAUAUUACCCUUCACGGACCGGUUUCUCUCCAGAGACCUUGAUAGCAGUUGAGCGCCCCUAGAAAUCGGUUGCCCAGAUGAACCACUCUCAGAAGUAGCAAAGACCGGCGGUAGAUUUGAAGGCCUAUCUAGAGGGGGAGGCGAGCCAACAUCGGCGAACUCAUUCUGAACCCGAGCUGGAGAACUAGUUUCCUUGACCUGGGCUCUUUUCUGUGCUUCUUGCUCAGCAGCCUUGCAACAAUAUUAUCUGAAUAUCCAUACACUCAAAGAUUAUUUAUCAUGAAUGCAUUAGGUCAAUGUGGGAGAAUGCGCCACACAUUUGGAGGCACAGUGUAUUGCUAUUGCUGAUUGUCUCCUAUUAAAUCAUCUCUCUCAUUCAAUUCCAAAACCUAAAAGUGCACAUAUGAUCCAUUAGAAAUAAGAUAAAAGGGUAAAAUAACAGCUGCAGCUUGUACUAAUUGAGGGCAUUGAAAAUCAGGAACACUGGAAUUUCACUUUGGUAUAAUAUUGACAUGUUGGAAUAUAGAAUCAGAUUUUGGAUUUGCUAUGAGAUUAUUUAUCGUUAAUAUUCACUUCCUGAUAACAAUUUGAAAUGGAUUAUUAAACAUCCAACUUUAAUCUAACACUCAAGUUAUCUCCUAUUGGAAUCAGUCGCGGAGACAGACGCUCGACUUUGCUGGGGCAAAACUAAAACUAAUACAUAAACAGUGGGAGGUUUUGAGAAUAUUAAAAUAAAAUUUUUAAUUUAUUAAUUACUUAAUUUAAAUGAAAUAAAAAAAUCUCACAUUUCAAUUAUAUAUGAAAGUUUUUUUUUUUUUUAAAUAUAUGAAAGUUAUUAUUCUAUUUUCAUGAGUGGACACAUAAGAUAAACUGCACAAGAAAUUAGCAUCAAUUUAUUUUAUGAAUCUUGUUAUGCAAUAAUAGAAGUCUUGGGCUUAGCUGCAGAUCAAAACUCUAGAGCAGCCGGUUCAUGAAACAAAACUCAAGCCCAAAAUUGUUGGCAGAAUUUCCUUCUCAGCAUCCUUAUUUGGCACAACCAUUAACCGGGCACCAUCAUCCAGCGUAUUCUGCUGCGGACGACUGCUAGGCACCAAUCAUCUUCUCUGAAUUUCCUUCUCAGCAUCGCUAAUUUGAUUAUCUAUAAGGCAGUCGGUAAGUCAAGCUGCACAACAUAACCUUUUGAAAGAUUGCAACUUUCCAGAUGCAAUGACAAUGAAAUUUUGGUACAGCCAUUUCAUUACUUUCAUUAUCAUUCAAUCGCUUCCUUGUAUGCAGUUCCAUGCAAAUAAAAUACGAAUAGUCUAAGCUAGCUUAUUUUGAUUUAAAACCUCAAUAGAUGGAAGAUAACACCAUCAAUGGAAAAGAGAAAAUAAAACACGAUUAAUUUGCCAAAACAGUAUCAUGUUUAACAGUGGAGAAUUUCAGAGAAAAACUUUAUCCUCCUGUUUGCAAUCUAGAAUUUUAUAAGAAUUCA
RNAcentral lists this unclassified non-coding RNA (2048 nucleotides) under Hevea brasiliensis (rubber tree). The record is from RNAcentral. Lineage: Eukaryota; Viridiplantae; Streptophyta; Magnoliopsida; Malpighiales; Euphorbiaceae.